CGGACAGUAGCUUAGUGGAAGAGCUCCCGCUUCGUAUGCGAGAAGACCUGGGUUCGACUCCCAACUGCUUGG
This 72-nucleotide transfer RNA is filed under the name Toxocara canis (dog roundworm). It matches the Rfam family "tRNA". Rfam says of the family: Transfer RNA (tRNA) molecules are approximately 80 nucleotides in length. Their secondary structure includes four short double-helical elements and three loops (D, anti-codon, and T loops). Further hydrogen bonds mediate the characteristic L-shaped molecular structure. tRNAs have two regions of fundamental functional importance: the anti-codon, which is responsible for specific mRNA codon recognition, and the 3' end, to which the tRNAs corresponding amino acid is attached (by aminoacyl-tRNA synthetases). tRNAs cope with the degeneracy of the genetic code in two manners: having more than one tRNA (with a specific anti-codon) for a particular amino acid; and 'wobble' base-pairing, i.e. permitting non-standard base-pairing at the 3rd anti-codon position. The record is from Rfam by way of RNAcentral. Lineage: Eukaryota; Metazoa; Nematoda; Chromadorea; Rhabditida; Toxocaridae.